CACAGGGAAUCUCUACCGUACUUCUCUGUCUCUUGGCAUCUGUUUCCUCUUCCUUCUCUGUGUUUUUGCCCUAAUUGUUCUCAGUUUCAAUCAAUCUCUCUGCAAAAUUUUCUUUCCACCAACGAUGAAGAACCGAGCUGGAAAAGACGAAGAACAGACUCGCUCGAAGUCGAAGUUCACGAAGGGUAAUAAACACAAGAACAUGAAACGAUUGGGAGGGAAGGGCCCUUCGCCCCAGGCGUUCGCAAAUGCGAAAUCAACUACUGAUUACUAUAAUCCAGCUUUUAUAAAAAAGCAAAGAGAGUUCUAUAAGAAUGCUAAACAUGUCAACAAGUAUAAGAAGUUGGUAAAGCAUCAGAAUAAUCAGAAUGAGAGGCCAUCUAACUCAACUGUUGGACUUGUCGAGGGUGAAAAUGAAAUGAAAUUCGAGAAUCGGACGAAUGGAAGACGUGGGAACGAAAGGAAUAAAGGCGUACCUAGUCUCCAGGGACUGUAUGAGAGAAAGCAUCAAGAGAAGGAGAAAGCAAGAAUGGAGAAAGAAGCCAUUAUUGCUGCAAAAAAGGAAGAACGAGAAAGAGCUAAAGCUAGAAGAAACUCCACGAGGGAGAAAAUGUUCAAAAGGACACAAAAAGGGCAGCCAGUUAUGAAGUACCGAAUUGAGCAUCUUUUGGAGACCAUUGGCGCCUCAAUGAACCACUGAGGACUUUGUGAAACAAAAUUUUGUUCGCUUUAGUGUUAUUUUUAUGGCGUUCAUCAACGUGUAGGAGAGGGGAGACUCAAACUUUGAUCCCUUCAUAUAAGAUAGAUCUACAUACACACAAACACAAAUUGUUCGAAUGCUCGAGAUGCAUCAAUCACGAGCAAGUUCCAAUAGAAUUGGAAUGGCAUGUUUGGGAUGAAAAUACUCAGCAUCGCAAGACGGUUUUAUUCGAGAAGGAAUGGGUAAAUUCUAAAUGAAACCGUUAAUCCUAUAAGAUUAUCCAACAUAUUACAAUUACCGUAUUAAAGAUGAUUCUCAAGGUGAAUCUACAAACAAAGAUUUAUACCGUACAAGAACCGAACUUGGAAGCUUUGGGACUAUUCGAUCAGAGUCGAAUCUCAAGGCAAACAACACAGUACAUAAGCUCGGCGUGGUUGAGGCUGGCAGAUGACCAUGAGGGUGAGAGCUAUAACAAUAGCCAGCAGAAGUCCCAUAAGAUUCAAUCCAUCGGCAUCAUCACCGGUAGAGCAACAGUGCUUCCCCAUCAGAUUUACAGAGCAAAAAAACCAGUUUCCUUCCCUAAAAAAAAAAAAAAAAGCCUCAAAAUUGAGCCUCUUGAACCCUUUCCUCUCGUCAAUAUAAAGUGUCUCAAGUCAAGUCUUUGUGUUAAGUCUUUAUAAAGCUCUUUGAUUCUUCUCCCUGUACUUAAUGGGGCAGUUGGGUCGUUUUUGUUUGUUCAGAUUAGUGAAGGACAAAAAUGUAAAAAUGUCACAUUCUUUUCGUCGAAAGUUUAUC
RNA transcript from Cucurbita maxima (winter squash), 1495 nucleotides. RefSeq lists it as uncharacterized. Lineage: Eukaryota; Viridiplantae; Streptophyta; Magnoliopsida; Cucurbitales; Cucurbitaceae. The record is from RefSeq and is a predicted model, not a curated record. The transcript has 5 exons.